AAUUGCAAAUGGUGGGUUUUUCUGUUUUGUGGUGUUGUUAUGUUUUGUGUUUAGGUUUUUUAUUCGACAGAAAGUAAUUUUUUAACACAAAAUUUAAAUUAUUUGUACAAGUAAAUGUAUAACUUCUUUAGAAGAUUUUACAUUGUAUCAUGACUUCAGUUUUUGACGAAAGACAGGAAUUCUUGAAAAGUCCUUAUCUUUUAAAACGCGAGUACGGUAACUUCUCCCCAUUCUACAUUACAGUUGCAAUUUGCAGUGUAGUCCUUGCAAUAAUAUUUGUCAUUAAUAUCGUACUUGGUUGCUGUACCAGAUAUUCAGAGUAUUGGAACGACAGAUUUACAGGUAAUCGUUGGAUAAUAUCACUUUGGACAGCAACCCCUCAUAACCAACCAUCUCUUGACUAUACGGAAUUAGAAUUGGUAGAUAUACCAAGUGUAGCUCC
This is a long non-coding RNA of Agrilus planipennis (emerald ash borer), 442 nucleotides long. RefSeq lists it as uncharacterized. The record is from RefSeq and is a predicted model, not a curated record. The transcript is spliced from 3 exons. Lineage: Eukaryota; Metazoa; Arthropoda; Insecta; Coleoptera; Buprestidae.